AAGCUGGUUUAAAUGUUUUGAAAACAUUUUUUAGAUUUUCUAUAGCUUU
RNAcentral lists this transfer RNA (49 nucleotides) under Gongylonema pulchrum. RNAcentral describes it as "tRNA-Ser2". The record is from RNAcentral. Lineage: Eukaryota; Metazoa; Nematoda; Chromadorea; Rhabditida; Gongylonematidae.